AGAUUGAACGCUGGCGGCAGGCCUAACACAUGCAAGUCGAGCGGCAGCACGGGUACUUGUACCUGGUGGCGAGCGGCGGACGGGUGAGUAAUGCCUAGGAAUCUGCCUGGUAGUGGGGGAUAACGCUCGGAAACGGACGCUAAUACCGCAUACGUCCUACGGGAGAAAGCAGGGGACCUUCGGGCCUUGCGCUAUCAGAUGAGCCUAGGUCGGAUUAGCUAGUUGGUGAGGUAAUGGCUCACCAAGGCGACGAUCCGUAACUGGUCUGAGAGGAUGAUCAGUCACACUGGAACUGAGACACGGCCCAGACUCCUACGGGAGGCAGCAGUGGGGGAAUUUUGGGACAAGUGGGCG
This 354-nucleotide ribosomal RNA is filed under the name uncultured soil bacterium. RNAcentral describes it as "bacterial SSU rRNA". It matches the Rfam family "Bacterial small subunit ribosomal RNA", at positions 26 to 377 of the family's 1533-position model. The record is from RNAcentral.